GACGAACGCUGGCGGCGUGCUUAACACAUGCAAGUCGAACGGGACCUUCGGGUCUAUUUGCGCACGGCUGCGUAACACGGGGUGACCUGCCCGUGGGUUCGGUGUACCUGCCCUUGGGGGGUGCUAAGGCCGCUUGGGGUCUUCGCGGCAAGGAGUUAUCGCUGUUGGGUGGGGCCUGGUUGGAUUCGGUGGUUGGUAGGGUAAUAGCGUACCAAGGGGUCGUUGCUUAGCUGGUGUGAGAGGAUGACUAGCCACACUGGGAAUGCGACGCGGGCCAGAAUGGUACGGGAGGGAGCAGUGGGGAAUAUUAGAGACUGGACGAAAGUCUGACCAAGCCACGCGGGGUGAGUGAUGAAGGCCGUAGGGUUGUAAAGCUCUCUUAACCGGGACGAUAAUGACAGUAACGGGAGAAGAAGCUCCGGCUAACUACGUG
Molecule: ribosomal RNA, 433 nt
Filed under: uncultured bacterium
Lineage: Bacteria
Description: partial 16S ribosomal RNA
Rfam family: Bacterial small subunit ribosomal RNA
Source: RNAcentral